Molecule: ribosomal RNA, 479 nt
Filed under: uncultured bacterium
Lineage: Bacteria
Description: bacterial SSU rRNA
Rfam family: Bacterial small subunit ribosomal RNA
Source: RNAcentral
AGGACGAACGCUGGCGGCGUGCUUAACACAUGCAAGUCGAACGGACGAUUCCCCUUCGGGGGAAAAGUUAGUGGCGGACGGGUGAGUAACGCGUGAGUAACCUGCCUUGGAGUGGGGAAUAACACAGGGAAACUUGUGCUAAUACCGCAUAACAUCGCGAAGGGGCAUCCAUUUGCGAUCAAAGAUUUAUUGCUCCAAGAUGGGCUCGCGUCCGAUUAGAUAGUUGGCGGGGUAACGGCCCACCAAGUCGACGAUCGGUAGCCGGACUGAGAGGUUGGCCGGCCACAUUGGGACUGAGAUACGGCCCAGACUCCUACGGGAGGCAGCAGUGAGGAAUAUUAGGCAAUGGGGGAAAAACCCCCUGACCUAGCGACGCCGCGUGAAGGAUGAAGGUUUUCGGAUUGUAAACUUCUUUUAUGAGGGACGAUAGUGACGGUACCUCAUGAAUAAGCCACGGCUAACUACGUGCCAGCCGCCGC